RNAcentral lists this ribosomal RNA (433 nucleotides) under uncultured bacterium. RNAcentral's name for it is "partial 16S ribosomal RNA". It matches the Rfam family "Bacterial small subunit ribosomal RNA", at positions 29 to 507 of the family's 1533-position model. The record is from RNAcentral.
AACGAACGCUGGCGGCAUGCCUAACACAUGCAAGUCGAACGAGACCUUCGGGUCUAGUGGCGCACGGGUGCGUAACGCGUGGGAACCUGCCCUUAGGUUCGGAAUAACUCCCCGAAAGGGGUGCUAAUACCGGAUAAUGUCUUCGGACCAAAGAUUUAUCGCCUUUGGAUGGGCCCGCGUUGGAUUAGCUAGUUGGUAGGGUAAAAGCCUACCAAGGCGACGAUCCAUAGCUGGUCUGAGAGGAUGAUCAGCCACACUGGGACUGAGACACGGCCCAGACUCCUACGGGAGGCAGCAGUGGGGAAUAUUGGACAAUGGGCGAAAGCCUGAUCCAGCAAUGCCGGGUGAGUGAUGAAGGCCUUAGGGUUGUAAAGCUCUUUUAACCGGGAUGAUAAUGACAGUACCGGGAGAAUAAGCCCCGGCUAACUCCGUG